AUUGAACGCUAGCGGCAUGCCUAACACAUGCAAGUCGAACGAGUGGCGGACGGGUGAGUAAUGUCUCGGAACCUGCCUGAUGGAGGGGGAUAACUACUGGAAACGGUCGCUAAUACCGCAUACCAUCAGAUCUGCCCAUAUUGGAUUAGCUAGUUGGUGGGGUAACGGCUCACCAAGGCGACGAUCCCUAGCCGGUCUGAGAGGAUGACCAGCCACACUGGAACUGAGACACGGCCCAGACUCCUACGGGAGGCAGCAGUGGGGAAUAUUGAACAAUGGGCGAAAGCCUGAUGCAGCCAUGCCGCGUGUAUGAAGAAGGCCUUCGGGUUGGAAAGUACUUUUAGCGGGGAGGCGGGAACCGCAGAAGAAGCACCGGCUAACUACGUGCCAGCAGCCGCGGUAAUAC
Molecule: ribosomal RNA, 406 nt
Filed under: uncultured bacterium
Lineage: Bacteria
Description: partial 16S ribosomal RNA
Rfam family: Bacterial small subunit ribosomal RNA
Source: RNAcentral